This 154-nucleotide ribosomal RNA is filed under the name Evernia divaricata. RNAcentral describes it as "5.8S ribosomal RNA". It matches the Rfam family "5.8S ribosomal RNA". From Rfam's summary of the family: 5.8S ribosomal RNA (5.8S rRNA) is a component of the large subunit of the eukaryotic ribosome. It is transcribed by RNA polymerase I as part of the 45S precursor that also contains 18S and 28S rRNA. The record is from RNAcentral. RNAcentral also lists the same sequence under 1 other name. Lineage: Eukaryota; Fungi; Ascomycota; Lecanoromycetes; Lecanorales; Parmeliaceae.
AACUUUCAACAACGGAUCUCUUGGUUCCAGCAUCGAUGAAGAACGCAGCGAAAUGCGAUAAGUAAUGUGAAUUGCAGAAUUCAGUGAAUCAUCGAAUCUUUGAACGCACAUUGCGCCCCUCGGUAUUCCGGGGGGCAUGCCUGUUCGAGCGUCA